CCCUUAGAUGUUCUGGGCCGCACGCGCGCUACACUGUUCGACGCAGCGAGUCUUAACCUUGACCGAAAGGUUUGGGUAAUCUUCAGCAAAGUCGAACGUGAUGGGGAUCGAUCAUUGCAAUUAUUGAUCGUGAACGAGGAAUUCCUAGUAAGUGCAAGUCAUCAGCUUGCGCUGAUUACGUCCCUGCCCUUUGUACACACCGCCCGUCGCUACUACCGAUUGAAUGGUUUAGUGAGAUCUCUAGAUUGACGCUGGCUAGGGGGCGACCCUUGGCCAGACUGUUGAGAAACUGCUCAAACUUGAUCAUUUAGAGGAAGUAAAAGUCGUAACA
This 331-nucleotide ribosomal RNA is filed under the name uncultured eukaryote. Its description in RNAcentral is "partial 18S ribosomal RNA". It matches the Rfam family "Eukaryotic small subunit ribosomal RNA", at positions 1470 to 1796 of the family's 1831-position model. The record is from RNAcentral.